This 68-nucleotide transfer RNA is filed under the name Amphisbaena xera. Its description in RNAcentral is "tRNA-Cys". The record is from RNAcentral. Lineage: Eukaryota; Metazoa; Chordata; Lepidosauria; Squamata; Amphisbaenidae.
AGUCCUGGCCGCGCUUCCGCGGCGAGGCCAAAUUUGCAAUUUGGCUUGACCCAGGACCUCGUUUGUUG